GUCCCUGUAGUGCAAUGGAUAGCUCUUUGGACUUGUAAUCCAAAGGUCGUGGGUGGAUCCGAAUCCCUCCUGGGAUG
Molecule: transfer RNA, 77 nt
Filed under: Trichonephila inaurata madagascariensis
Lineage: Eukaryota; Metazoa; Arthropoda; Arachnida; Araneae; Nephilidae
Rfam family: tRNA
About the family: Transfer RNA (tRNA) molecules are approximately 80 nucleotides in length. Their secondary structure includes four short double-helical elements and three loops (D, anti-codon, and T loops).
Source: Rfam by way of RNAcentral